AUUGAACGCUGGCGGCAUGCUUUACACAUGCAAGUCGAGCGGCAGCGCGGGGGCAACCCUGGCGGCGAGCGGCGAACGGGUGAGCAAUGCAUCGGAACGUAUCCUCGAGUGGGGGAUAACCCAGCGAAAGUUGGGCUAAUACCGCAUGAGCUCUGAGGAGGAAAGCGGGGGACCUGCGAGGGCCUCGCGCUGGAGGAGCGGCCGAUGUCCGAUUAGCUAGUUGGUGGGGUAAAGGCUUACCAAGGCGACGAUCGGUAGCUGGUCUGAGAGGAUGAUCAGCCACACUGGGACUGAGACACGGCCCAGACUCCUACGGGAGGCAGCAGUGGGGAAUUUUGGACAAUGGGGGCAACCCUGAUCCAGCCAUGCCGCGUGAGUGAAGAAGGCCUUCGGGUUGUAAAGCUCUUUCGGACGGAACGAAAUGGGCGGGACUAAUACUCCUGUCUGAUGACGGUACCGUAAGAAGAAGCACCGGCUAACUACGUG
RNAcentral lists this ribosomal RNA (486 nucleotides) under uncultured bacterium. RNAcentral describes it as "partial 16S ribosomal RNA". It matches the Rfam family "Bacterial small subunit ribosomal RNA", at positions 29 to 507 of the family's 1533-position model. The record is from RNAcentral.